UGAACGCUGGCGGUAUGCUUAACACAUGCAAGUCGAACGGUAACAUGAACUAGCUUGCUAGUUUGAUGACGAGUGGCGGACGGGUGAGUAACGCGUAGGAAUCUACCUUUCGGCGGGGGAUAGCCCGGAGAAAUCCGGAUUAAUACCGCAUAAGCCCUACGGGGGAAAGCGGGGGACCACUUGUGGCCUCGCACCGAUAGAUGAGCCUGCGUUAGAUUAGCUAGUUGGUAGGGUAAAGGCCUACCAAGGCGACGAUCUAUAGCUGGUCUGAGAGGAUGAUCAGCCACACUGGAACUGAGACACGGUCCAGACUCCUACGGGAGGCAGCAGUGGGGAAUAUUGGACAAUGGGCGCAAGCCUGAUCCAGCAAUACCGCGUGUGUGAAGAAGGGUUUCGGCUCGUAAAGCACUUUCAGCGAGGAGGAAAGGUUGUAAGUUAAUAGCUUGCAACUGUGACGUUACUCGCAGAAGAAGCACCGGCUAACUCC
This 487-nucleotide ribosomal RNA is filed under the name uncultured bacterium. RNAcentral's name for it is "bacterial SSU rRNA". It matches the Rfam family "Bacterial small subunit ribosomal RNA", at positions 30 to 504 of the family's 1533-position model. The record is from RNAcentral.